UCUCCAGCCCAAUUCCCUCAACACUGGAUGCAAAAUAUUUAUUUAUCUGUGAAAAUAGAUAAUGUAGAGAGGAAAGAAAGACGGUAGCAGAUAAACCUAAAUACAUUUUGGGACUCGCUGGAAACUCGCAAAUUCCCUCAACACUGAACUCGCUGGAAAAUUCAUUCUAGGACUCAGGUUACGUUUCUGCCUUCCUCAAUAUUCCAUUUUUCUCAUAUUCUAACAAGGCACUGCAUAAUCUCAGGUUACGUUUCUCCCUUCCUCAAUAUUCCAUUUUUCUCAUUGUGACCUAUAUCCAGAUUGGGGGUUUGCUUCUGCUGCCAAUCAAGGAUUCUUCUACGCAUUCCUUCCUGAAAACAACGCACCUCCCUUCCCAAUUCCCUUCCCUGUAUUUCACUGAUGCUAGACCGUUGGAACCAGAAAGAUUGAAGGCAUUUCACAUUCAGUUGGCAAAGUACUAUUUGAAAGUUAAAAAUGAAAUUUAUGAUGUUUAGACAAUUUUGUAAUUGUAGUUUAUAUUUACUUUAUAUUUUUUACAAUUCAUGUCUCAACAUUAAAUAUGCUUUAAAUUUAUAGUAAUUAGGAAAUUUCUCA
Long non-coding RNA from Glycine soja, 594 nucleotides. RefSeq lists it as uncharacterized. The transcript is spliced from 2 exons. The record is from RefSeq and is a predicted model, not a curated record. Lineage: Eukaryota; Viridiplantae; Streptophyta; Magnoliopsida; Fabales; Fabaceae.